RNAcentral lists this ribosomal RNA (741 nucleotides) under Rossellomorea aquimaris. Its description in RNAcentral is "bacterial SSU rRNA". It matches the Rfam family "Bacterial small subunit ribosomal RNA", at positions 60 to 783 of the family's 1533-position model. The record is from RNAcentral. Lineage: Bacteria; Bacillati; Bacillota; Bacilli; Caryophanales; Bacillaceae.
AGUCGAGCGGAUCGAUGGGAGCUUGCUCCCUGAGAUCAGCGGCGGACGGGUGAGUAACACGUGGGUAACCUGCCUGUAAGACUGGGAUAACUCCGGGAAACCGGGGCUAAUACCGGAUAACACCUACCCCCGCAUGGGGGAAGGUUGAAAGGUGGCUUCGGCUAUCACUUACAGAUGGACCCGCGGCGCAUUAGCUAGUUGGUGAGGUAACGGCUCACCAAGGCGACGAUGCGUAGCCGACCUGAGAGGGUGAUCGGCCACACUGGGACUGAGACACGGCCCAGACUCCUACGGGAGGCAGCAGUAGGGAAUCUUCCGCAAUGGACGAAAGUCUGACGGAGCAACGCCGCGUGAGUGAAGAAGGUUUUCGGAUCGUAAAACUCUGUUGUUAGGGAAGAACAAGUACCGUUCGAAUAGGGCGGUACCUUGACGGUACCUAACCAGAAAGCCACGGCUAACUACGUGCCAGCAGCCGCGGUAAUACGUAGGUGGCAAGCGUUGUCCGGAAUUAUUGGGCGUAAAGCGCGCGCAGGUGGUUUCUUAAGUCUGAUGUGAAAGCCCACGGCUCAACCGUGGAGGGUCAUUGGAAACUGGGGAACUUGAGUGCAGAAGAGGAAAGUGGAAUUCCAAGUGUAGCGGUGAAAUGCGUAGAUAUUUGGAGGAACACCAGUGGCGAAGGCGACUUUCUGGUCUGUAACUGACACUGAGGCGCGAAAGCGUGGGGAGCAAACAGGAUUAGAU